AAAACCAUUAGGGCCACACUAGCUUUAGAUUAAACUAAGCAGAAUAAAUAAUCCCAGAGGGGGCUGUAGUUUUUACCCUUUUCUCUUUGUCUUUGCAACCCAAACUAAAUUCCCAGAGACUUACCAGAACUUUCUGGUGAGACACAGUUUAUUCUACUUACUGCAGAUCAGGGACAAUCUGGGAUUGGCAUACUUAAAAGUGCUUCCGGAGUACGUAGACAUGUUCAUUGGUUUUGAGUGGCCCUGAGUGAGCCUCUGCAGUGUCUGUCUGGUUUGGGUUUGGUGGGUGUACCCAAGGGCAAAUGGGGUGGGGAUCUUACAUACUCUGCAUCUUUGACUCUCUUUGAACACAUCAUUGGAAGUCAGUGGAUUCAUAUACUAAACAGUCUUUUAAGCAAAAUCUAACUGGUUUGGGGGAGUUAGGAAAGCUUUAGGGCUUCUCUUAUUAAAGUAAAGGAAAAGCUUUUACUGUGAACUUAACCUCAAAUGAAACUUCGGUGUCAAAUGUUCUGGAACUAUUACGUGUCAUUUUAUUAACCCAUACCCUUUCUGUCUAGAACGCUGUAAGAGUCUAGUUAAAUGAAGUCUGUGUGUCUGGUGAAUGCGUGUGAGUGGUUGAAGAAAAGAUGUUCAAUGCUUGGUUUAAUGUGCAAAUUACCAAUCCAUGGUGACCUCUGUCAGGGGUUCAUUAUUUCAUAUAAACUAAAAAGGAAAAAGGUGUCCCUGCAAGACACAGGGGGUGGAGUCAUGCAGCUGAAGCAUGGGGUCAUCUCUCAAGUGGAAUUUUAGAGAUUUGCCUUACAGUGUUCAUCAGACGGGGCGGCUGCAGGGAAAGAGGUCUGGAGGUAGAGCUAGGUGUCCAAGCAUCUUGGCCUGGUAAUGCUGCGUUCUGGCUGUGUGACCUUGGACAAGUUGCUUAACCUUCCUGAGGCUCAUGAGGACAGCAGCACCCAUCCUGCCCUGUGCAGACUUAUUUGGGGAAUCGAAGGAUGGGAAAGCACUCUGUAAAUUGCAAAUAGCUGAGUAAACAUCAGGCACUUGGGACAUUGCUCCAUCGUUAAGCAAGAGCAAUGCCAUUUGUAAACCGGGUUUUGAGUACAUCCUGAGCGUCGUUUGUGAGAGGAGUCCGGGCUUCUCUGCACGUACUCCUAAGGAGGUCGGGUACCACAGAUCUCUCCAUCUGCCGUUUUCUAGCUGAGAUGCUAAAUAGAGUCAUGGGUGUACCUGGGGUCUUUCUCGUUCCAGUGUAGCCUCCGAGGGGGGCUAGAUGUGUCUCCCUUCCUCCCUCUCAGAUGGAAUUGUAUUUAUAGCCUGGUAUAAAUACAAUCAGAAGGUUCCUAUAAAACUCUGUUAUUACUGCAGCACAAAGUUAGACAUGCUUGAGGUUUCGGCUUCUUGGCUCUUCCAUGUGGCAAUGAAUAUUUUAUGGGAAAGGAAAUACUUAGUGUCUGACUCUUUUUAUAGUGCAGCUACUCACAGGGCUGGUAACCUUCCAGAUCUCUCCAAAAUCAAAAGCGUUGCCUGUCCAUCUCUCUGCUCCUUUCUUCCCAAAAUCCAUCGCCGCUCUGCCUUGCUGAGGUUUCCGUGUUCUCCUGGUGAAUGGGUCGAUUCACGCGCUGUGUGGGGUGCGCUUUCCGAUCCUAAUGAACGCCCUAAACCAGAGGAGCCGGCCACUCACCAGCUCCGCCCCACCCCUGCUGGCGCUUUGCGGCUCUGGUCGGCCCUGGGGGAGGUGUGCUGGCGGGUUGCCCCCUGGGCUGUCAACUUGAAGGCCUCCAUCUGCAUUUCCUUCCAUGCUGCCGAGUGCCCCGUAGCCACCAGAGGAUGGGACCAGCCUCUCCAAAGUCUACCCUCAUCUUGGAAUUCAAAAAGGAAUCGGUGAGUUUGAAGUCCAGCAGAACCCAAGAGCUCUUCCCUUUCAAGGCCUGAGCUUGGGGCUGGAGGCCUUGCCAUGGGCAGCCGUCAGGCUGGUGAGAUUUCCCUCUCAGGCCCUCUUACUGCGGGCCCUUCAGUGACCCCACGUGUAAGGCUGGAAAAUGGGGCUUGGGUGGUCUUGGCCCUGGCUUGCUAGGCCCAGGCCUUUAAGUAGAAGAAAGGGGUCUCCUGGCAGGUCAGCGUCCAUGGAGGUUGCUCCUCUGGCAGCCUGAGGCCAUCCUGGCAGAGGUGAUCAGCUGGUUGACCUGAUGGUCCUCAGACACGUGUCAUGACUACAGCGGCAUUGCAGACCAGCUUUGUGGCCAGGUGACAGUGCCUCAGGUGGUCACAACAGCCUGGGUCUUUUGCCCGUGCCCAGGGCACCCCAGCGUGAAGAGCAUGGCGGGCUCAAGUGCAGCUUCUGAGACACAGGAGCAGAGCUGGCUGGGCAUCACCACUGGCUCAGGACAGUUUUUUCGUAGCAAGGGGGACACGGGUUGGAGCCCUGGUCCGGGAAGAUGCCACAUGCCGCGGAGCAACUAAACCCAUGUGCCACAACUACUGAGCCUGCGCUCUAGAGCCUGCGAGCCACAACUACUGAAGCCCGUGCACCUAUAGCCCGUGCUCCACAACAAGAGAAGCCACCGCAAUGAGAAGUCUACGCACCGCAACGAAGAGUAGCCCCCGCUCACCGCAACUAGAGAAAGCCCACACACAGCAAUGAAGACCUAACACAGCCAAAAAUAAACAAAUAAAAUAAAUAAAUUUUUAAAAAAA
Molecule: long non-coding RNA, 2691 nt
Organism: Lagenorhynchus albirostris (white-beaked dolphin)
Lineage: Eukaryota; Metazoa; Chordata; Mammalia; Artiodactyla; Delphinidae
Exons: 3
Source: RefSeq, a predicted model, not a curated record